This 200-nucleotide long non-coding RNA is filed under the name Carica papaya (papaya). RNAcentral describes it as "long non-coding RNA (CPAP_LNC003164)". The record is from RNAcentral. Lineage: Eukaryota; Viridiplantae; Streptophyta; Magnoliopsida; Brassicales; Caricaceae.
UGUGGACAGUCCGGAUCCGUUCUCCCUUUAAAUGUGAUCGUACAAUCCAGAUCAAAUCGCGAUGAAUGGUCCAAAUUUACUUCUUAUUUAAACGCGAUUGAACAACCCAGAUCAAAUCGCGAUAAACGUUCCAGACUCACUUUCUAUUUAAACACGAUCGGACGAUUCAGAUCAAACGCGAUGGACGAUUCAGAUCAAAC